This 200-nucleotide long non-coding RNA is filed under the name Carica papaya (papaya). Its description in RNAcentral is "long non-coding RNA (CPAP_LNC011511)". The record is from RNAcentral. Lineage: Eukaryota; Viridiplantae; Streptophyta; Magnoliopsida; Brassicales; Caricaceae.
CUCUAACUUUGCUCUCUUUCACUGCAAAAUGCAUUUCCCAUCUCCCCACCCCUAUAUAUAGGAGAGGGAAGCCCAAAGGGUCAGCCAAGAGGAGUUUAGGUGGCAAUUGGUGAGGUUGCCACCUCAAUUCCUCAAGCUUAUCCAUUUUUCUCUCGUUUCCCUCUUCCUUCACCUUUAAGUAGUUCUAGAGUAUUUCAUGC